GCUCCGGCCCCGUCGACUCCGUCAGCCUCAACCGCCUCUACUUCCUCUGAGGACCGCCAUGCCCGACGCCCCC
Molecule: transfer RNA, 73 nt
Filed under: Streptomyces sp. PVA_94-07
Lineage: Bacteria; Bacillati; Actinomycetota; Actinomycetes; Kitasatosporales; Streptomycetaceae
Source: RNAcentral